Molecule: ribosomal RNA, 392 nt
Filed under: uncultured bacterium
Lineage: Bacteria
Description: partial 16S ribosomal RNA
Rfam family: Bacterial small subunit ribosomal RNA
Source: RNAcentral
AUACGUAGGUGGCAAGCGUUAUCCGGAAUUAUUGGGCGUAAAGAGGGAGCAGGCGGCAGCAAGGGUCUGUGGUGAAAGCCUGAAGCUUAACUUCAGUAAGCCAUAGAAACCAGGCAGCUAGAGUGCAGGAGAGGAUCGUGGAAUUCCAUGUGUAGCGGUGAAAUGCGUAGAUAUAUGGAGGAACACCAGUGGCGAAGGCGACGAUCUGGCCUGCAACUGACGCUCAGUCCCGAAAGCGUGGGGAGCAAAUAGGAUUAGAUACCCUAGUAGUCCACGCCGUAAACGAUGAGUACUAAGUGUUGGAUGUCAAAGUUCAGUGCUGCAGUUAACGCAAUAAGUACUCCGCCUGAGUAGUACGUUCGCAAGAAUGAGACUCAAAUGAAUUGGCGGGG